CCCACGGGUGAGCCUUGGAGGGAAGCUGAACAAGACACUCAGCAAGGAUUGGGGAUUCUAUGACUCACUCGGCUCAACUCCAGGCCAGGAGUGAGGGUGCCGAUUGCUUCCAACCUGUUCUUUGGAGCCAAGAGUUACAACAGCCAGGGGCUCUGUGACCCCUCUACUCCAACAAGAC
This 178-nucleotide long non-coding RNA is filed under the name Canis lupus familiaris (dog). Its description in RNAcentral is "lncRNA (ENSCAFG00030005805.1)". The record is from RNAcentral. Lineage: Eukaryota; Metazoa; Chordata; Mammalia; Carnivora; Canidae.